CAAUGAGGCCGCUGCUGUGAACACGCUUCGUUUUAUUUAUUUGCCUUCUUAUUCUUCCCACCUUUCCUGCGAAGUAACAGAAGUCGGUGUUUUGGGUGCAGACCAAGGGACUCCGGAAAUCCAAGUGCUUCACGCCGAGACAAGUCCAUGUGAGGACGCAGCGUCAGCAAACUCUUCGCAUUGUGCACGAGAGAACUUGCUUUGAAUUCCCAUCGGAUCAAAGCUCCAACGAUUCUUUGUUCAGUUCAGGAAGGUCUCGCGUUCGGGCUUCGGCCCGAAAUUUGCGUCUGAAGGGACGCCGCUCGGGAGUUCCGGUAAGUGACUUAAACUCUCGUAGCCCUCAAACACCUAUCGUAAUUAAUCUUUCUAGGUCUU
Long non-coding RNA from Electrophorus electricus (electric eel), 375 nucleotides. NCBI's taxonomy places the organism in Eukaryota, Metazoa, Chordata, Actinopteri, Gymnotiformes, Gymnotidae. The record is from Ensembl.